CAGGCCUAACACAUGCAAGUCGAACGGAUGUAGCAAUACAUUAGUGCCGCACGGGGUGCGUAACACGUAACUAACCUGCCCAAGACUGGGGGAUAGCCCGCCGAAAGGCGGAUAAAUACCGCAUAAUAUCUACGAGUGGCAUCACUUGUUGAUUAAACCUGAGGGGGUCUUGGAUGGGGUUGCGGGUCAUUAGCUAGUUGGUAAGGUAACGGCUUACCAAGGCGACGAUGACUAGGGGAGCUGAGAGGCUGGUCCCCCACACGGGCACUGAGAUACGGGCCCGACUCCUACGGGAGGCAGCAGUAGGGAAUAUUGGGCAAUGGGCGAGAGCCUGACCCAGCCAUGCCGCGUGCAGGAAGAAGGCUUUCUGAGUCGUAAACUGCUUUUGACAGGGAAGAAUAAGCUGUACGUGUACAGUGAUGAC
This 424-nucleotide ribosomal RNA is filed under the name uncultured bacterium. Its description in RNAcentral is "bacterial SSU rRNA". It matches the Rfam family "Bacterial small subunit ribosomal RNA", at positions 43 to 473 of the family's 1533-position model. The record is from RNAcentral.